GAAAUUCGUGUUUUAUCGAAGGAAUUUGGCAACGUUUGAGGGCUCGUACGGCGUUUUUCCUUAGCACGAUAGUGUUGACCUAGGGUCAGACGCGUAAAUCCAUGUGACGAACUUUUACAAGAGGGACAAAAUGACUGAUUUUCAGGCAGGAUGACUAAAAUUUUCAGUAGUGUCAAAAGAAUAUGUCAACAUAAGUUCGAAGGUUAUGAAGUUUGUGAAAGUUCGGUGGAAACAUUUUUAGUGCCCUCUUAGGCUAAUGUAAAAUUUUGGACUCAACUAUACGAAUAUAGGGAACUUUCUAGCUCCUCCCCUUUCCUCUUAUCGUAUUUGUCGGCCAGUCAAAUGUAAAAUAAUAGUGAAGUGUAGAGAGUAAUAAUAAUGGAAAAAUUAGGCACUUAUCGGGCGUAAAGAUUCCAACGCGUCAUAAAGUCAAUAGUUUAAAUUAAGGAGAAUUAUAACACAAAAUAUUACAGGAAAGCAUUUGGCUUUUUUACAGCUCACAGCACAAUUGAAGAUAGCGUUUUCAGUGUCAGCACGAGAGAGUUUCGCAAUACUUAUUUCUCUUGCUUCUAUUAUCUGUAUGUUUUUGAUUGUUUCAGGGUCUUAGAUGCAGCUACAGAGUCGAUCAAAAUCCGGCAUAAAAAAUAAUAAUAAAAAAAAAAAUAAAAAAAUAAAAAAAAUUAGGACAUUGAGAUAGCUGAACUUAUGUGAAUGCAUUUUAUAGGAAUAACGAUCUCCCAAAUUCAAUUUCUGCUGCUCUGAUUACUGCGACGUUGCCUUUUUUGGGGAACUGUACCUGUGUUAUUUCGGCUCUCGUACCCAGAAAACUGAAACAAGCGCCGCAGCCUCCCUCUACAACGGAUUAUGGCACUAAAUUCCGCGCAUAUGGCGGUUAAAAUCAGACAUGAAUACGAAUAGUUUGCUUGUAGUGGGCGCUUCUGGUUCAUUUCGUGCGCCACUUAACUUUAAUCCCCACCAAUUAGGAUCCCCUUGAAUCCUUCAUUUGCAUUCAUGGCUCGCAGGUAGAAUACAUAUCUAUAUAUAAUAUCUAUGUAUAAUAAGCCGCGGAGUCACUCUUGAUAUUAUUACAGAUAUCCACGGCAAUACCGGUUUUCCGUAGAUGAAUGAUGACCCACCAUGGCUGGUGGCUCAAUCCUGUUUUAGACCAGAAACGGAGUAUGAAACAACAAUAUUCACAAUGCCCAACCAGUUAGCGGUGUUAUUAUUAUAGUCAGGCAUAUUUAAGAAGAAACACGAGGCAAGGAUGUUAUUGACCCUCGUAACUUUUGGCUCACGACAGCAAGACUUUCAUUUUGUAAAUUCAGACUUGUCGUAAUACAGGUUACCAUACAUAUAUGAAUAGAAGAAAGGAAAA
Non-coding RNA from Bemisia tabaci, 1375 nucleotides. The record is from RefSeq and is a predicted model, not a curated record. Lineage: Eukaryota; Metazoa; Arthropoda; Insecta; Hemiptera; Aleyrodidae.